This 1310-nucleotide long non-coding RNA is filed under the name Sus scrofa (pig). RNAcentral's name for it is "lncRNA (ENSSSCG00040067897.1)". The record is from RNAcentral. Lineage: Eukaryota; Metazoa; Chordata; Mammalia; Artiodactyla; Suidae.
GAUCCAACCUGUGUUCCAGUGCUCCCAAGAUGCUGCUGAUCCCAUUGCCCCAAAGUGGAAACUCCUGGAAUUCUUUGUCUAUAACUCAUUUAAUAAAUUUAAGAGCAUGCAUCAGUGAUCUUCAUCCUCAUAGAAAGUGAACAGCACCCAUUUUAUUUCCUUCACCCAGCCCCACACAGAAAUAGGAUGCCCUUUAAGAUUUUAUCUCCAGCUUUUCUUCAAUUUUAAAGAUAUUUUCCUGGGCCUAGGCUUUUUAAUUUUUCUGAAGCAAAAAUGAAUAAAUACUGUGUCUAUGGUGGAUAAAAAAAGAUAAGUAAUCUUACUAGUUUGCCAAAUAUACACUUCCAAAAAAAAAAAAGGAGGCAUUUACUGUCUUAAGUCAGGCUAAAAAUAAUAUUAUUUUAGGGUGUAUAGGUAAUUGAAGAAAUCAAGUUUUCCCUUCACUUACUAUCUGGAUAAUUGCCUAAUUUUCCCACUGUCAUCAUCCUGUCCUGCUAGUGUUGCUUUAUACACAACCUGGUCUUCCCUUUUGUUGUAUUUAUUUUUUCUUUAAGACACCCUUCAAAUAUUAAAGAAAAAGAGAGAGGCUAUACAAUUUGCAUCAUGACUUAAAACUAUUAGAAGAUAGGAAUUCAGUAGUUGAGACAAUGCGUUUCAAAACUCCAAAAGAUAACAGGUUUAAAGAAAUUGGCAUAUGUUAGUGAUUAUGCAAUCAUUCAUUUCCCACAGAUUUCUUUUUAUAGGAAACUUUGGAAAAUCCCAGAAGAACUGACCGAGUCAUUUCAACCACAACAGGUUUCUUUCAACAUCAAAAUCAUGGGUAGGAGUGGGCGAGGAAUAAUUUUCUUUCUUUUUUUUUUAAAGGCAUGGACAGCCUGGUUCUGAGUGUGCAAAGCUGUGGCUUCCCCUCCUAUAGACGCCUUCUGAACAGCAAAUCUGACUUCCUCCUCAGACCAAGGCAUCCUGAAAACAUCCAAGCAGAGGAAGCAUUUUUUCACCAUGACAUGGGAAAGGGCCACAGAGAUCCAAAUGGAAACGGACAUUUCAUGCCUCCCAGUGCAAGCCCUGGCCCUGCCUUAAAGCCUCCGAGACAAAAACAACAAAACGCAGUGUGGAGAGAAAUGAAAAAGGCUGUAAUACUAUUUAAAGAAUGGAUUAAGUACAAUUUUCAGACGCUGGAUUUAUUCUCCUAUUGGAAUGUUAAAUUAGACAACAGAGAAGGAAAACUCACCUUGUUUGAAACAUUCAGAUGUUUCCCUAACAGUCAUUUCCAUUUGUAUUCCCAGCAGUCUGUUCCUGUACGUCGCUGA